UGUGGCUCAGUGGUAGAGCACUCGCCUAGCAUGUGUGAGGCACUGGGUUCAAUCCUCAGCA
RNAcentral lists this transfer RNA (61 nucleotides) under Marmota marmota marmota (Alpine marmot). It matches the Rfam family "tRNA", at positions 6 to 65 of the family's 71-position model. Rfam says of the family: Transfer RNA (tRNA) molecules are approximately 80 nucleotides in length. Their secondary structure includes four short double-helical elements and three loops (D, anti-codon, and T loops). RNAcentral also lists the same sequence under 4 other names. Lineage: Eukaryota; Metazoa; Chordata; Mammalia; Rodentia; Sciuridae. The record is from Rfam by way of RNAcentral.